AUACGGAGGGUGCGAGCGUUAUUCGGAAUUACUGGGCGUAAAGCGCGUGCAGGCGGGUGGAAAAGUCUGAUGUGAAAGCCCCGGGCUCAACCUGGGAAGUGCAUUGGAAACUGGGAGACUUGAGUACGGGAGAGGAGAGUGGAAUUCCUAGUGUAGGAGUGAAAUCCGUAGAUAUUAGGAGGAACACCGGUGGCGAAGGCGGCUACCUGGACCGAUAUUGACGCUGAGACGCGAAAGCGUGGGGAGC
Molecule: ribosomal RNA, 247 nt
Filed under: uncultured bacterium
Lineage: Bacteria
Description: partial 16S ribosomal RNA
Rfam family: Bacterial small subunit ribosomal RNA
Source: RNAcentral